AGAGUUUGAUCCUGGCUCAGAACGAACGCUGGCGGUACGCUUAACACAUGCAAGUCGUACGAGAAAAUCUCUUCGGAGGUGAGUAGAGUGGCGCACGGGUGAGUAACGCGUAGAUAACCUACCUUUUAACCUGGGAUAACAUCUCGAAGGGGGUGCUAAUACCGGAUAAUACUAUGAGUCGAGUGUCUUAUAGUUGAAAGAUUUAUCAUUAAAAGAUGGGUCUGCGUACCAUUAGCUAGUUGGUAGGGUAAUGGCCUACCAAGGCGACGAUGGUUAGCGGGUUUGAGAGGAUGAUCCGCCACACUGGAACUGAGACACGGUCCAGACUCCUACGGGAGGCAGCAGUGGGGAAUUUUGCGCAAUGGGGGAAACCCUGACGCAGCAAUACCGCGUGAGUGAAGAAGGCCCUUGGGUCGUAAAGCUCUUUUAUAAGGGAAGAUAGUGACGGUACCUUAUGAAUAAGCACCGGCUAACUCCGUGCCAGCAGCCGCGGUAAUACGGAGGGUGCAAGCGUUGUUCGGAUUCACUGGGCGUAAAGGGCGCGUAGGCGGCAUCAUAAGUUAAGGGUGAAAUCCCGGGGCUCAACCCCGGAACUGCUCUUAAAACUGUGGAGCUAGAGAUAGUCAGAGGCGGGUAGAAUUCCUAGUGUAGAGGUGA
This 657-nucleotide ribosomal RNA is filed under the name uncultured delta proteobacterium. RNAcentral's name for it is "bacterial SSU rRNA". It matches the Rfam family "Bacterial small subunit ribosomal RNA", at positions 8 to 684 of the family's 1533-position model. The record is from RNAcentral. Lineage: Bacteria; Deltaproteobacteria.